ACCCGCUGAACUUAAGCAUAUCAAUAAGCGGAGGAAAAGAAACCAACAGGGAUUGCCUCAGUAACGGCGAGUGAAGCGGCAACAGCUCAAAUUUGAAAUCUGGCCUCACGGUCCGAGUUGUAAUUUGUAGAGGAUGUUUCGAGUGUGGUCCGGUCUAAGUUCCUUGGAACAGGACGUCAUAGAGGGUGAGAAUCCCGUAUGCGACUGGAUACCUAAUCUCAUGUGAAACUCCUUCGACGAGUCGAGUUGUUUGGGAAUGCAGCUCAAAAUGGGUGGUAAAUUUCAUCUAAAGCUAAAUACUGGCCAGAGACCGAUAGCGCACAAGUAGAGUGAUCGAAAGAUGAAAAGCACUUUGGAAAGAGAGUUAAACAGUACGUGAAAUUGUUGAAAGGGAAGCGCUUGCAACCAGACUUGCACGCAGUCGAUCAUCCGAUGUUCUCACCGGUGCACUCGAUUGUGUUCAGGCCAGCAUCGGUUUUGGUGGUGGGAUAAAGGCCUUGGGAAUGUAGCUUCUUUCGGGGAGUGUUAUAGCCCUCGGUGCAAUGCCGCCUACUGGGACCGAGGACCGCGCUUCGGCUAGGAUGCUGGCGUAAUGGUUGUAAGCGACCCGUCUUGAAACACGG
This 623-nucleotide ribosomal RNA is filed under the name uncultured fungus. RNAcentral describes it as "eukaryotic LSU rRNA". It matches the Rfam family "Eukaryotic large subunit ribosomal RNA", at positions 23 to 664 of the family's 3401-position model. The record is from RNAcentral. Lineage: Eukaryota; Fungi.